UUGAGCCGUGUGACGCGAUGAGUGUCACGCACGGUUCUUAGGGGGGAGAGGACUGGUAACAGUCCAAUCCUACCCAAC
Molecule: non-coding RNA, 78 nt
Organism: Hassallia byssoidea VB512170
Lineage: Bacteria; Bacillati; Cyanobacteriota; Cyanophyceae; Nostocales; Tolypothrichaceae
Source: Rfam